This is a long non-coding RNA of Colossoma macropomum (tambaqui), 290 nucleotides long. RefSeq lists it as uncharacterized. NCBI's taxonomy places the organism in Eukaryota, Metazoa, Chordata, Actinopteri, Characiformes, Serrasalmidae. The record is from RefSeq and is a predicted model, not a curated record. The transcript is spliced from 6 exons.
GAUCCUCCUCUGAAUUCUGGGAGUUGGAGUUCGGAAGUCUGGUGAGUGUUUUCUCAGGUUCGUCAUCAGAUGAAAAACAGAGAAAGCGAAACUAAGUAACAACAGAUUUUUGGUAGAAAAGAACUCCGUCAAGUCCUCGUUUUUCGACUAAUAUCGACUGAGGGCAGCGAUACUCCGUCCUAACGGGCGCUGUCUACACCAUAAAAAAUGGGGCUACACCCCAUACACCGGCUACACCCCAUACACCAAACAUUAGAAGAAUUGUACCGCAGGCUACACCCCAUACACCG